RNAcentral lists this ribosomal RNA (234 nucleotides) under uncultured bacterium. Its description in RNAcentral is "partial 16S ribosomal RNA". It matches the Rfam family "Bacterial small subunit ribosomal RNA", at positions 99 to 334 of the family's 1533-position model. The record is from RNAcentral.
CGGACGGGUGAGUAAUGUAUGGGGAUCUGCCUGAUGGCGGGGGAUAACUACUGGAAACGGUAGCUAAUACCGCAUAAUGUCUACGGGACCAAAAGCGGGGGACCUCCGGGCCUCUUGCCAUCGGAUGUGCCCAGAUGGGAUUAGCUAGUAGGUGGGGUAACGGCUCACCUAGGCGACGAUCCCUAGCUGGUCUGAGAGGAUGACCAGCCACACUGGAACUGAGACACGGUCCAG